AGUCUGGCAGGGACCCCGUGGGGCUCUGCCUUUGCUGGAAGAUCCUGUGCAGGGACCUCGCCUGGCUCCGUGGUGGCAGCCUGAUGGACGUGGUGUCUCCCCAUGAGGACAGCACAGAGCUGCAGGAUCAGCCGUGAGCUCAGCAUGACCACCAACACAUCAGCAAGGCCAGCAAUUUCAAGGUGCCAGAGCAGCUCCUCUCUUUCCUGGCAGUAAUGGGCAGCAGGCUGCAGACCUGGUGCAGAAUACCUCAUCCCCGGAGCGGGGGCCAAGUGUCAGCUGUGGCGCAGAUCCAGAGCAGCUCGGGGAGACCUGUACUGCUGCCCUCCUCUGCUGGGGUCCAGAUGCAGCUUGGUGCUGCCCAGGUACCUGCCUGGGGCUGGCGCUGGCUUGGGGCCACAGGGGUGCCCCAAAGAACCCCUGCUGAGGAUGAACCCCUUGUAGCACAUGGC
Pipra filicauda (Wire-tailed manakin) is the source of this 452-nucleotide long non-coding RNA. RefSeq lists it as uncharacterized. Lineage: Eukaryota; Metazoa; Chordata; Aves; Passeriformes; Pipridae. The transcript has 3 exons. The record is from RefSeq and is a predicted model, not a curated record.